CCUACGGGUGGCAGCAGUGAGGAAUAUUGGUCAAUGGGCGGAAGGCUGAACCAGCCAAGUAGCGUGCGGGAUGAAGGCCCUACGGGUCGUAAACCGCUUUUGCACGGGGAUAAAACCCUCCACUUGUGGAGGUCUGCAAGUACCGUGCGAAUAAGGGUCGGCUAACUCCGUGCCAGCAGCCGCGGUAAUACGGAGGGCGCGAGCGUUAUCCGGAUUUAUUGGGCUUAAAGGGGGCGUAGGCGGUCGUGCAAGUCAGCGGUAAAAUCGCGCGGCUCAACCGCGCCCCGCCGUUGAAACUGGACGCCUUGAGUGCACAACAGGCAGGCGGAAUUCGUGGUGUAGCGGUGAAAUGCAUAGAUAUCACGAGGAACCCCGAUUGCGAAGGCAGCCUGCCGGGGUGCGACUGACGCUGAGGCUCGAAGGUGCGGGUAUCAAACAGGAUUAGAUACCCUUGUAGUC
This 459-nucleotide ribosomal RNA is filed under the name uncultured bacterium. Its description in RNAcentral is "partial 16S ribosomal RNA". It matches the Rfam family "Bacterial small subunit ribosomal RNA", at positions 338 to 795 of the family's 1533-position model. The record is from RNAcentral.